ACAUACUCCUGAAAGUCGUGGAACGAAAAUUCGUCUCGUCGAGCGUUAUCCUGUUAGUACCUUCAUUUCGACUUUAUCAAUGAUUCUACGCUUCUAUCUGGUUCAUUCAAAUAAUACAUUAUUGGCUGGUCACAUGACUGAAAGAAUAGGGGUUCACAUCACAGACGCCACAAGUGAUUAACAAUCGAUAAUUCGAACUGAAACAAGAUGGACGUCAUAGAUGAUUAUUAAUAAAUGGAGCAGUUGAUUUCUGAUGCAGAUUUAGUAAUGAUUGAGGUACUAUAACAAAUCAGACUUUUUCAUAAUUUCUACUUUUUCCUGUGCUUCGUGAAGG
Long non-coding RNA from Bombus impatiens (common eastern bumble bee), 334 nucleotides. RefSeq lists it as uncharacterized. Lineage: Eukaryota; Metazoa; Arthropoda; Insecta; Hymenoptera; Apidae. The record is from RefSeq and is a predicted model, not a curated record. The transcript has 3 exons.